GCUGGGGAGGACGGCCUUAGGAUUGCAGAUCCCAGGCCGCCCCGCAGCGUCCUCCAGGGAACGCGCAGCGGUCCUGUGAUCUUCUACCCACCUGGCUACACACAGAAGAUGACCGUGGUCCUUGUCUUCUCUGACUACCUAGACCUCUUGUUUUCUCAUCUCACUUGCUCCAGGAAAUAAGUAGAUAAUGGUUAACAUUUGAACGGUGGACCACGUGUGGCUUUAAGCACUUAAUUGUAUUAGCUUAUUAUCCUCAUUUCACAGAUGAAGUAAAUGAAAUACAGAAAGGUCUUGUGAUUUGAUCAAGGCUAAAGAUGUGGUGGAGCCAGGAUUUAAACAGAGAUAUGCUGUGUGCCAUCUCCUGAACACGGGGCUCUUAACCUCCAGUGAGUGGUUCUCAAAGUGUGAGCCCAGCAGCUUCAGCAUCACCCAGGAGAGAGCUGGAAAUGCAAACUUCAAAUUCUCAGACUCCACGCCAGACCUACUGAAUUAAAAUUCUGUGGGUGCAGCCAGCAGUCUUUCAACAAAUGGCUCCUAGAUGAUUUUGAUGCUUUUCUAAAGUCUGACAAUCACUUCUCAGGAGAUUUAGAACUGAACUGUUGAGAGCUUGUUCAUGUUUCCCCAGCAAACAGGAAUCAUUCACGUAGUUAUUCAGGAAAGCCAAGGGUCCAAGGCCUGAAGUCAUGCAGCUGGACAAAGCCCACCUGCAUCUGUCUGACUCCAUACACUCCAGUGUAAGUGUUCCUCCACAUGAUGUGCAGCUUUCCUCCACAUGGUGGCUCAGGGACC
Molecule: non-coding RNA, 789 nt
Organism: Miniopterus natalensis
Lineage: Eukaryota; Metazoa; Chordata; Mammalia; Chiroptera; Miniopteridae
Source: RefSeq, a predicted model, not a curated record